Molecule: non-coding RNA, 221 nt
Filed under: Angustibacter sp. Root456
Lineage: Bacteria; Bacillati; Actinomycetota; Actinomycetes; Kineosporiales; Kineosporiaceae
Also listed under: 1 other name
Source: RNAcentral
UAGGGUGGGUCGAUCGUUGGUUCGACCGGCUCGCCAGGUCGGUCGUCGCAAGAGGGAACCCGGUGCGAGUCCGGGACUGCCCCGCAGCGGUGAGUGNCCGCCGUCACACGCACUGGGUGCCGACCACCCGGGAAGCGACGGCCAGUAGGAGUGCGGCGCUGCACCACGCGGCCGAGCACGCGCCCACGAGUCCGAAGACCUGCCAACGUGUUUCGCCGACA